Non-coding RNA from Heterocephalus glaber (naked mole-rat), 309 nucleotides. The record is from RefSeq and is a predicted model, not a curated record. Lineage: Eukaryota; Metazoa; Chordata; Mammalia; Rodentia; Bathyergidae.
AAAUGGUACAUGCAUAUAUUGUAUCACUUUUCUUCUUUGACUCUCCACAUCUUCAUCUUCAAAAUGAGAAAUUUGAGUUAAUUCCUAGGCAGCAGAAUGUCUCAAAAAGACUUUUGGCUGUGGCUACUGAUCCAUGAAGUAGACUGGAAUAAAGCAGGUGUCUUCUGAGCUCAGGGUCCAGCACAGCAUAGCUGGGAACACCGUCCACCACGGGAUGAAGCUGAGGAGGAAGGUUGAAGAUUUUUCCUGGUUAUCUGUGAGUGGAAAUUAUGAUUGUUGUAAAGAAGUAACAACUUUGGAAACAUGGAG